RNAcentral lists this ribosomal RNA (305 nucleotides) under uncultured bacterium. RNAcentral's name for it is "bacterial SSU rRNA". It matches the Rfam family "Bacterial small subunit ribosomal RNA", at positions 337 to 634 of the family's 1533-position model. The record is from RNAcentral.
GCCUACGGGGGGCAGCAGUAGGGAAUUUUCGUCAAUGGGCGCAAGCCUGAACGAGCAAUGCCGCGUGAACGAGGAAGGUCUUCGGAUCGUAAAGUUCUGUUGAAGGGGAAAAAGAGCGGAGAGAGGAAAUGGUCUCCGAUUGAUAUUACCCUUCGAGGAAGUCACGGCUAACUCCGUGCCAGCAGCCGCGGUAAUACGGAGGGUGCGAGCGUUAAUCGGAAUCACUGGGCGUAAAGCGCGCGUAGGCGGCUUUUCAAGUCAGGGGUGAAAUCCCACGGCCCACCCGUGGAACUGCCUUUGCAACU